GAUGAACGCUGGCGGCGUGCCUAAUACAUGCCAGUCGAGCGAACGGACGAGAAGCUUGCUUCUCUGAUGUUAGCGGCGGACGGGUGAGUAACACGUGGAUAACCUACCUAUAAGACUGGGAUAACUGCGGGAAACCGGAGCUAAUACCGGAUAAUAUUUUGAACCGCAUGGUUCAAAAGUGAAAGACGGUCUUGCUGUCACUUAUAGAUGGAUCCGCGCUGCAUUAGCUAGUUGGUAAGGUAACGGCUUACCAAGGCAACGAUGCAUAGCCGACCUGAGAGGGGGAUCGGCCACACUGGAACUGAGACACGGUCCAGACUCCUACGGGAGGCAGCAGUAGGGAAUCUUCCGCAAUGGGCGAAAGCCUGACGGAGCAACGCCGCGUGAGUGAUGAAGGUCUUCGGAUCGUAAAACUCUGUUAUUAGGGAAGAACAUAUGUGUAAGUAACUGUGCACAUCUUGACGGUACCUAAUCAGAAAGCCACGGCUAACUACGUG
This 497-nucleotide ribosomal RNA is filed under the name uncultured bacterium. Its description in RNAcentral is "partial 16S ribosomal RNA". It matches the Rfam family "Bacterial small subunit ribosomal RNA", at positions 28 to 507 of the family's 1533-position model. The record is from RNAcentral.